Bos taurus (domestic cattle) is the source of this 2161-nucleotide long non-coding RNA. Lineage: Eukaryota; Metazoa; Chordata; Mammalia; Artiodactyla; Bovidae. The record is from Ensembl.
GCAAAUGAAUAAAUGUUAAUAAUAGAGGUAAAGGGUAAUGGGUUUUAAAAAUAUUUUCAUUUUAGCAACUUGUAUGUAGGUUUGAAAUUAUUUCCAGAUAAGGACUAAAAAGAUAAUAGGGCCAAAAUAUUCUAUGAGAUGGAGGAAAAUAAGCGAGGGUAAAGAUUAAAUAAGACCGACCAUAAAUUGAUGACUACUGAAGCCGAGUGGUUUAUUAUAAAGAGGUUUAUUAUACUUUUCAAUGUAUUUGAGUAUUCCCAUAAUAAAGGAAGGUAAACAGUGAGGAGAUUGAACUUGAAGACCCCCCAUGUCUCUUACAGUUCAAUGGUCUAUUUGAGUGUAGUGGAUGAUAUAUGAUAUAAAUUUGAGUUUCCUUGGUUCAAGUUUUUCCUCCAAAAAUUGGGGAAAAUAAUUUCUACUAGUAAGAUUAUUUGCUACUGUUUAGUCAUUAAGUCAUAUGCGACUCCAUGGACUGUAUCCCGCCAGGCUCCUCUGUCCAUGGGAUUUCUCAGGCAAGAAUACUGGACUGGGUUGGUUGCCAUUUCCUUCUCCAGUGGAAAUUCCUGGAGCUAAUAAUCCUAUUGGGCUUCCCUUGUGGCUCCGUGGUAAAGAAUCCCCGUCAAUGCAGGAGACAUGGGUUCAAUCCCUGGCCCAGGAAGAUCCACAUGCUGAGGGGCAAUUAAGCCCAUGUGCCACAACUAUUAAGCCUGUGGUCUAGAGCCCGGGAACCACAAUUACUGAGCCCACGUGCCCUAGAGUCCAUGCUCUGCAACUAGAGAAAAGCCCGAGCAGCAGUGAAGACCCAGUACAGCCAAAAAUAGAUAAAAGUUUAAAAAUAGGAUUAUUAACGUUGUUUUACACAUGUUAAAGUUGUUAGCACGUUGUCUAGCACAUCCAGUUGUUCAAUAUGUGUCAGUAAUAACUAUGACUACCGGAUGAAUAAGUAAAAUAUAAAGAUUAAUUUCCACUUGAUGGUUAAAAGAUGGAGUAUCGUCUCCCGAAGUUUGUUGGUAAGGAAGUAGACCUGCAUAACCACGAUCAUUAUCGGCAUGAGAUAGUACUGGAAUAGGUUCAUUUCGGGUGCUGCAGAAAGAUAACGUCCUUAUGAUUAAUUAGGUUGUUGUUAUUGUUCAGUCGCUCAGUUGCGUCCGACUCUCUGCGACCCCAUGGACUACAGCACGCCAGGCUUCCCUGUCCUUCACCAUCUCCCAGAGUUUGCUGAAACUCAUGUCCAUUGAGUCAGUGAUGCCAUCCAACCAUCUGUCUUCUGUCAUCCCCUUCUCCUCCUUCCUUCAAUCUUUCCCAGCAAGCAGGAUCUUUAGUUGCACCAUGUGGGAUCUAGCUCCCUGACCAGGGAUCUAACCCAGGAAUAAAGUCUUCUUCUUAAGGUCCGAGAACUGUUACUUGCUCACGUUUGGUUUUUCCUGUGCACCCCUUUACAAUGGUAUUUAUCCCCACUUUGCUAGGGUUACAUAAUUAUGCAGAUCAGCAUCGUGGGCCUUUUUCCCUGGACAGUACUUUCUGGAACUGCUAGACUUCCAGAUGAGAACUGUUUAUUCUGGAUCAGACUUAAUUUGGUCAGCUGAAGUCUCUUGGGUAUGGAGAGUUUUUCUUACCCUUGGCCUACUUUUUGUGGUGCUAAAUAUCCUCUUACAGUUUCACCAAGUACUUUGUAACAGAAAAUAGUUGAAAGCACUGCUUUCUUAGUUUCUCUGGCUGUAUCACUGCAUCAGUUACAUGGUGCUUCUUGGUAAGUCACAACCACAGAGGAAGGAAAGGAGGGUUUUGUUCAUGUCACAAGUGCCUACUAUGUGCCAUGCUCCUGUCCUCAUGGUUCAUCACAAAACUGGAACAGUAAGGAUGGUGAUGGAAAUAUAUUUAGGUCCCAGCAGGGCAGAAAGGCACUGGAAGCCCGAGGCUCUAACUACCAUUCAAUGAGUUCUUUAGGGCUUCCCUCGUGGCUCAGUGAUCAAGAAUCCACAUGCCAAUGUAGGGGACGCAGGUUUUAUUCCUGGGUUGGGAAGUUCCUCUGGAGAAGGAAACGGCAACCCACUCCUGUACUCUUGCCUGAGAAAUCCCACGGACAUAGGAGCCAGGUGGGCUAUAGUCCAUGCAGUCGCAAAAGGGUCUGAUGUGACUUAGCUACUAAACAAUGAGUUAU